RNAcentral lists this long non-coding RNA (248 nucleotides) under Olea europaea subsp. europaea. Lineage: Eukaryota; Viridiplantae; Streptophyta; Magnoliopsida; Lamiales; Oleaceae. The record is from RNAcentral.
GUCUUCUCUUGGUCUUCUUCGGCCAUGAGGAUUUGAUGAUACUCUGAGAAUGCAUCUAAGAAGCUGUACAGCUUAUGUCCGGAUGUGCUAUCCACAAGAUUGUCAAUCUUGGGUAGCGGGUAGCUGUCUUUAGUGCACACCUUAUUGAGAUCUGUGAAGUCGAUGCAAACCCUCCAUUUACCACUGGCCUUCUUUACAAGAACAACAUUAGCCAGCCAAUCGAGGUAUUGGACCUCCCUUAUGAACCC